UAUUCUGCCCCAUGGGGAAGGAUGAGAAGCUUCGACUAAGGUUCGACUCGAGCGCCAGCGAGAGAACGUUGCCACAGGCAACGGCCCGAAGGGCGAGGCGCUUUAGCGCC
RNAcentral lists this small RNA (110 nucleotides) under Klebsiella pneumoniae. RNAcentral's name for it is "partial RtT sRNA". It matches the Rfam family "RtT RNA", at positions 1 to 107 of the family's 130-position model. From Rfam's summary of the family: This family represents a bacterial cis-regulatory element known as RtT RNA. The exact function of RtT is unknown although it is thought that it may be involved in changing the cellular response in relation to amino acid starvation. The record is from RNAcentral. Lineage: Bacteria; Pseudomonadati; Pseudomonadota; Gammaproteobacteria; Enterobacterales; Enterobacteriaceae.